UUUAGUUUGGGCGUAGUCCCCGAGAUAUUUUCAGAGCUCGGAGAUUGGACUUUGGAGCGGGGUGGGAUACAACUGGAGGGAGGUUUUUAAAGCUAUGGCCCAAUUUCCAGACUAGAAAAAUAAAUAAAUAAAUAAAUAAAUAAAUGUGAAGCGUAACUUACGAGCCGUGUAGGGUUCUGUUUCCAGCGUGGGACAAAUACAGCAAAGGGACAGAGUACUCUUUGUAUUUACCCUCAUUGUGUUUUCCCUCUGCCCCGGGCAGUAUGGAGCAUUUGCAUUGGAUGCAGCUCCAAUGUGCUUUUACAGGGCCAAGAUGCAUGG
RNAcentral lists this long non-coding RNA (321 nucleotides) under Physcomitrium patens. Its description in RNAcentral is "long non-coding RNA (PPAT_LNC008600)". The record is from RNAcentral. Lineage: Eukaryota; Viridiplantae; Streptophyta; Bryopsida; Funariales; Funariaceae.